RNAcentral lists this ribosomal RNA (432 nucleotides) under uncultured bacterium. RNAcentral's name for it is "partial 16S ribosomal RNA". It matches the Rfam family "Bacterial small subunit ribosomal RNA", at positions 29 to 506 of the family's 1533-position model. The record is from RNAcentral.
AGCGAACGCUGGCGGCAGGCUUAACACAUGCAAGUCGAGCGGGCACUUCGGUGUCAGCGGCAGACGGGUGAGUAACACGUGGGAACGUACCCUUCGGUUCGGAAUAACGCUGGGAAACUAGCGCUAAUACCGGAUACGCCCUUUUGGGGAAAGGUUUACUGCCGAAGGAUCGGCCCGCGUCUGAUUAGCUAGUUGGUGGGGUAAUGGCCUACCAAGGCGACGAUCAGUAGCUGGUCUGAGAGGAUGAUCAGCCACACUGGGACUGAGACACGGCCCAGACUCCUACGGGAGGCAGCAGUGGGGAAUAUUGGACAAUGGGCGCAAGCCUGAUCCAGCCAUGCCGCGUGAGUGAUGAAGGCCUUAGGGUUGUAAAGCUCUUUUGUCCGGGACGAUAAUGACGGUACCGGAAGAAUAAGCCCCGGCUAACUUCGG